This 496-nucleotide ribosomal RNA is filed under the name Ascocoryne sarcoides. Its description in RNAcentral is "eukaryotic LSU rRNA". The stretch from base 183 to 336 matches the Rfam family "5.8S ribosomal RNA". The record is from RNAcentral. Lineage: Eukaryota; Fungi; Ascomycota; Leotiomycetes; Helotiales; Gelatinodiscaceae.
GCAGCGGGCUCGCCCGCUGUCCGACGAUCACGGCCCCCCUCACGGGGGGUACCCCCCACCCUUGUGUAUUAUACCUUUGUUGCUUUGGCGGGCCGCGUCAAGCCACCGGCUCACGCUGGUGAGCGCCCGCCAGAGGCCCCAACUCUUGAUUUUAUGAUGUCUGAGUACUAUAUAAUAGUUAAAACUUUCAACAACGGAUCUCUUGGUUCUGGCAUCGAUGAAGAACGCAGCGAAAUGCGAUAAGUAAUGUGAAUUGCAGAAUUCAGUGAAUCAUCGAAUCUUUGAACGCACAUUGCGCCCCGUGGUAUUCCGCGGGGCAUGCCUGUUCGAGCGUCAUUAUGACCAACAUCACGCCUCGCGUGGUCUUGGGGCUGGCAACUCUGCCGCCCUCAAACGCAGUGGCAGCGCCGCAUGGCUCUUAGCGUAGUAAUACUCCUCGCUAUAGGGUCCUACGGUUGCCCGCCAGCAACCCCCAAUCUUUACAGGUUGACCUCGG